AUUGAAUUCCACAAAAUUUUGUGUGCUGGAGUUGAACUAAACAAGCACUUAAACUUUUAUUUUUACCUUAAUAAGAUCCUUAUUUCCACAACCUGUCAUCUUACUUUCUGAUGCACCCUUGUGCAUGUAUAUGAUGUAUUAUUUACAUAAAUUUGGUUCUGUAUGUAACAAUGUUUCAUCCAUUGCAGCUUGAACGUCAAG
This 201-nucleotide unclassified non-coding RNA is filed under the name Hevea brasiliensis (rubber tree). Lineage: Eukaryota; Viridiplantae; Streptophyta; Magnoliopsida; Malpighiales; Euphorbiaceae. The record is from RNAcentral.